GAUGAACGCUGGCGGCGUGCCUAAUACAUGCAAGUCGAGCGAACGGACGAGAAGCUUGCUUCUCUGAUGUUAGCGGCGGACGGGUGAGUAACACGUGGAUAACCUACCUAUAAGACUGGGAUAACUUCGGGAAACCGGAGCUAAUACCGGAUAAUAUUUUGAACCGCAUGGUUCAAAAGUGAAAGACGGUCUUGCUGUCACUUAUAGAUGGAUCCGCGCUGCAUUAGCUAGUUGGUAAGGUAACGGCUUACCAAGGCAACGAUGCAUAGCCGACCUGAGAGGGUGAUCGGCCACACUGGAACUGAGACACGGUCCAGACUCCUACGGGAGGCAGCAGUAGGGAAUCUUCCGCAAUGGGCGAAAGCCUGACGGAGCAACGCCGCGUGAGUGAUGAAGGUCUUCGGGUCGUAAAACUCUGUUAUUAGGGAAGAACAUAUGUGUAAGUAACUGUGCACAUCUUGACGGUACCUAAUCAGAAAGCCUCGGCUAACUACGUG
RNAcentral lists this ribosomal RNA (497 nucleotides) under uncultured bacterium. RNAcentral's name for it is "partial 16S ribosomal RNA". It matches the Rfam family "Bacterial small subunit ribosomal RNA", at positions 28 to 507 of the family's 1533-position model. The record is from RNAcentral.